CUUUGGUUCCGCCCGGAUGUUUCCGUCCAGACCGAAGAACGGAAACACCGGACAUCCGGCAGAUUUGCGGAGGCUGUAAUCAGCCGAUUGGGCACAGCUGUGCCUAGUUAAAAGAGAUCGCCAGGCAAUUGGAUAACUGAAGCACAGAAAGGAGUAUUUAAAGCACAGUUAAAUGACAGUUCAGCAGUUCGGGCACGAGAGGGGGAUUGACACGGGGAGAGCUCCUCUGCUUAGGGCAGGAGAGGUAAAUACGUACCUUUUGAAGAGCCCGCAGGCUCUGUUGAUCCGGGCUGCGCUUGAAGCGCGCGGAAAGAAGACAGGAGCUGCCUGGGGUGAAAGAAAGGCGAUACGUGAGUGGAGAAAAGGAGCACCCCGAAGAGAGCAUUGUGCUGUCAAGCUUGUGCUUAGUGUGUGCUGGGAAACGGAGCUGUGCUCAUUUUUGGACGUAGUGGCUGUCUGUGUUUUUCUCUCUCUCUCUCGUUUCAGUCUGUAUUGUGGACCUGCUGGAGUCAAUAGAAAAGCCCUAUGGGUAAGAAGGAACUUUGUUCUAACCAACAUUGAAGGAGUAAAGCAGGAAGAGAUAUUGACCGUUGGUACAACGUAAAUAAAGGCUAUCCGCCGUGAGUAUACCCUUUCUGUGUGGAAUAACUGGCAAAAAUUAACUUGUGUAGCCAUUGGAAACCUCCAGGAAAAGGAGGGCGGCCCUACCCCUACAAGAGUGUGGUGGGCGAGCCGUUAGAAGUACACAUUCAAACAGCCGCCGCAACGAGACUUAUUGUGGUCGUAUUUCACAUCGCCUUAUCGUAGCCCAAGCGCAGUGGAGGACACCGGGCGCUUCCCUUGUUGUGGUGCACUUAUAGUGUGGUGAGUGAGACUGUGUAAUAAAUCUUUUUCACGUUUGGAGUGGUGCUGUGUAUUGCUGUGGGUUGCUGUGUGUCUUGUAGACGAAGCCCCGCAUCAUCCAUUUUCUUCCACUGGGCAGAGGACGGAGAGGCCAACGACUACAGAAAUCACUGUUAUUAUACGUAGUGUGCUGUUUGGAGUACGAAGGGACGCAGACUAAGAGCCGUCCGUGACCGUGAGUAAACCAAUGGAAACAUUCGUGGUGUGAACUUACCUGUGUCUGUUGUGUCGCAGAGUCAGAGGCGAAAGGGUCCGCCGCCCCGUGGUCUCUACGAAAAGGGCGCCCCCGUCGAGGAAUCGAUCGGCCUAUGAGCAUUGGAGAUAGGGCAGCGCUCGACCGGGUGAGGUGGUGUGUGACCUUCGCCCCUCUGCUGACCUACGGAGGAGAACGUGAUACCUACCCAGAAAGUUGUAAACAGCAAAGCCGGUGAGAAAUACUCGAAGUCUCAGUAACAGUGUCUUUGUGUCCUGGCGGCCACCUGUGGAGAGAGAGCAGAACGAAAGUGAACCAUUGAAGAGCAGACUGUGAACGUGAUACCUACCUGAAAAGCUGUAAACAGCAGAGCCGCGGCCACCUGUGGAGAGAGAGCAGAACGAAAGUGAAACAUUGAAGAGCAGACUGUGAACGUGAUACCUACCCAGAAAGCUGUAAACAGCAGAGCCGGUGAGAAAUACUCGAAGCCUCAGUAACAGUGUCUUUGUGUCCUAGCGGCCACCUGUGGAGAGAGAGCAGAACGAAAGUGAAACAUUGAAGAGCAGACUGUGAACGUGAUACCUACCCAGAAAGCUGUAAACAGCAGAGCCGUGGCCUCCUGUGGAGAGAACGGAAAACGAGAAGGAACAUGAGGAAAAUGGACUGUGUGAAGAUACAGUGGUGGUGGAGGAGAGCCUAGAGUGGCCAUUGUUUUAAGUCCCCCGUUCCCCUUCCUUAUUUAAUGCUUUUAAGUAAUUUAAUAAAGGAUAUUUUAAUUUUA
Paramisgurnus dabryanus is the source of this 1877-nucleotide long non-coding RNA. RefSeq lists it as uncharacterized. The record is from RefSeq and is a predicted model, not a curated record. Lineage: Eukaryota; Metazoa; Chordata; Actinopteri; Cypriniformes; Cobitidae.